Triticum aestivum (bread wheat) is the source of this 172-nucleotide non-coding RNA. NCBI's taxonomy places the organism in Eukaryota, Viridiplantae, Streptophyta, Magnoliopsida, Poales, Poaceae. The record is from Rfam.
GCUAGGAAGAGGAAGAAAUAGAGGGCGUAAGAGCAGUGGGAAUGAGAACAUAUAGGAAACCCUAACUUUACUGAUUCUUCACCUCUUUUCUUGAGGUAGAAAUUUAGUUUGGCAAUUCCCGAUGCCUCUCAUUCCUAUUGUUCUUAGGCGCUUCUUCCUAUUCCUUUUGGUU